This 67-nucleotide transfer RNA is filed under the name Calacanthia angulosa. Its description in RNAcentral is "tRNA-Ile". The record is from RNAcentral. Lineage: Eukaryota; Metazoa; Arthropoda; Insecta; Hemiptera; Saldidae.
AAUAAGAUGCCUGACUGAAAAGGAUUAUUUUGAUAGAAUAAAAAAUGUAGUUAAACUACUCUUAUUA